AUCCCAUGAUGAGGACACUUCCUAAGGAAAUUCUUAAACCUUUCCCAAGCCUUAAACAUAGUUUCGUCUUCAGCUUUUUCAAAAUAGGCCAUGUCAUUUCUCUUCUU
This is a small nucleolar RNA of Cicer arietinum (chickpea), 107 nucleotides long. The record is from RefSeq and is a predicted model, not a curated record. NCBI's taxonomy places the organism in Eukaryota, Viridiplantae, Streptophyta, Magnoliopsida, Fabales, Fabaceae.